AGGGAUUUAUGGUGAAGAUAUUGAUAUCAACUUAACUGGGACUAACUAUUUUCAGUAUCAACCUACUGGAGAGACAAAAACUAACUAUUUCAUAGAAACAAGUUGCAAUACUGACUGGGUUGGAGAUAUCAAAGGUACCCGUGACCUUCAAUCUAAGGCUAUUGAGAAAGAUUACCACUCUUAUGUGCAUAGAGACUAUGAAGCAAAAGAUGAUAGACUGGAGGCUUUGGAUGGUAAUGAACCCGACGAGGCACCAGAUGAUGAGGGAGGUGCUACUUCAGAUGAGCG
RNAcentral lists this unclassified non-coding RNA (288 nucleotides) under Hevea brasiliensis (rubber tree). The record is from RNAcentral. Lineage: Eukaryota; Viridiplantae; Streptophyta; Magnoliopsida; Malpighiales; Euphorbiaceae.